ACUGGUGCAGCCCCGGCCGGAUCCUGGGCCCGAGGAGAAGGCAGGGCUCACCCUCCAAAGCAGUACCUGCCGAGGACCCAGCAGGCCCCAGGCCCCCGAGGGCGCGACCUUGGGUUCACCGGGAGGGAGGCCAGGGACGAACACUUCCUUCCGGAGCUGGGCCUUGUCGGGUGGGACGAUGGCAAACGUCCCACUUCCCAGCUGCUAAGGGUCAGCCAGAGCUGCUGUUUCUGUGUCUGUCAGAGGGGAACAAAGUUCCGGUUCGUGUGGCUCACCGGAUGGAAGAUGGGCAGGCAGACCGUGGCGUGCCCGCAUCAGCGAGACACAGCAACGAAAAUAAAUGAUCUUCAGCGACGGAGAGGCCCCACGGACGUCCAGCGUGAGGCACAGGGGAGCCUAGACUCCAGGAGGACACGAGGAGCCGGUGCUGUUCCCACGCGGCUGGAGAUGCGGCCACACGGAGCCGUGGGGUCCGGGGGUGCACGCGGAGCGGGGGAUGGGAGACACGGCCACCACCUUCCUGUCGGGGACAGCCUGCAGAGUCCUUAGCUCGUCAAAGAUUGGCUUUCCGACGAAGCAGACCUCGAGACAAAGAUUUGGAUGGCCUCUGAUCCCACGGAAUGCAACGUCGUGGGGCCGGGAGCCCGAGUCCCUGAGCGGACCCUGGGGCCGAGGUGAGAAGGAUCGUCUGACCUCCAUGCCCUCGUUCCUGGGCCGGUGUCUCCACUUCCUGGAUUAGAGCACUGCCUGAUGGAGAAAAAUAUCUGCUAUACCUCGGAGGACGGAGGUUCGGAAUAGGUCCAUCCACGUCGUGGAAUGCACCGGAACCUCAUGCCCUUUUAAGGACAAACACUGCUCUGUUGUCGAUGGAGCACAUCUGUUUAUCCGUCCGCCCGUCGCCGGACACUCGGGCCGUCUCCCCUUUUGGGUCUCACUCACUGUCUCUCCAGGGACGGCAUCCUACCUCCACACAGGUCAUGGCCAAACCCAGGCAUUGAGGAGCCUUUCAGGCUGGUAGGUUUGUUUGAGGUGGACGUGUGUAGGAGACAGGACCAGCAGGUCCCAGGGUCCCGGUCCUUUGGUCACCCCUUCCCUGUCAUGGGGGUCUGUUGGCCUGAGGUGACAUCUCAUGGGAUUCUCUGUCGGCAGAUGAGAUACCCUGGGAGCCCUUGGCAAGUGUGGUGGGCGGAGGCUGUGGGGACGGGGAAGGCAGAGCCUGAACACUGAUCGGUAUGGGAUGGUAAAUCGCCCCCCAGGAGGGAAGGUCUGAUGGGUUCUGAUGUACUCACCUCAGCAUCAGGAUGCUGGUUGGUGGCUGGAGGGGCAGCACCCCGGCCAGGGCUUAGGGUCGGUCCCCGCCGCGCCCCCUGUGUAGAACCUCUAGCCUCACCGCCACCCAGCUCUGUUCGCAUGCUGCUUGUUCAAGGACAGUGGGGAACAGACGGGGGGGGGCUGGCCCUCACUGUGCCGGCGUCCUAUUCUCCUGGCCACGUGCACACCGGUGCCCUCACAGGCCAUCGCGUGUAGGGGUGGGGGAUGGUGAACAACCGUUCACACAUCGGGAGCCCACCCGUCCCCAGGACCUCCUGGGGUCUGACCUGAUCCUGACCUUCUGGGCCGUUCGCCCCUGUCUUGGAGUCGCCGUGUCCCCCAGCCCCCCACCACUUCUGCCUUCCCAUGAAGUUGAUGACGUGUCCCUGUUGAAGCUCUGCCUCGUGGGACCACGCCCGAGUGAGUGGGGCUGAAGCGAGAGAGUGGACGGUGCACGUUUGUUUGUCCAACCCGGGGCAGCCGCGACAGAACCGGGGGCAGGGCCAGCCGGUCGCAGAGGUGGUCACCGAGGAGCCUGGAGUCGCCGGGGAGCGGGCGCGCUUCCCCAGGGUUCCGUGAGGCCUGUCGCUUUGCUCAGAUUCACUGUCUGUUCUGCUGAGUGAACUAACUGUGCCCACGGUUGUAGCCCACGUCUUCUUGUGCACGGACCGUCGGCAGGCCUUUGCAAGCCGUCGAGUGUUCAGAUGAACGUCCCGGUAGUUUCCAGCAGGAAAGCGGUUAAAUUAAUUUCAAAAUCAUUUUGAUGUUUUUCAUCCCGUUGAUGGAGUCUAGAUAAAGCAGCUGGAAGUUUAUUCUGUCAAACGUGAAACGCACCUGAUGUGCGGCCGCUUGAGCUGUAAAUUGAGUUUUAAAAAACGCCUUCGAUGCUGAAAUGUUUUUGGUUUGGCAGGUGAUUACAAGAAGACAAAUUUUGGAUGAUCACAGCUCUGUGAUUAAAGACACAAUAUUUUGAUCUUGUUAAGAAACCCAUCAUCCCUGGGCACUCCGGUGGCUCACACCAUGUUCCUCAUUGCGUGGAAACCAGCCUGGGGUGUGGCCAAUGGACCUAGAAGGUGUGCUUUUCAAAACGUGAGGAUAUUUUUAUGCACACACAGCAGAGCUGGACGACGGAACGGAUUUCAAAGGUGCCGUGUCAUUAAAAAACGCUUCGGCACGCCGUGUGGGGCUGUGUGCCGCAGGUUCUCAGAGUUCGGAAACAUUUGGCGGUCGAAGGACGACCCGCAGUGAUUUCAGACAUUUUUGGGAAUGGGUCUGUAGAUUGUGGCUGCGUUUUAUGUAAGUUGGACGUUUUUAAAUCGUCCCAUUUGUCCGACGGAGGACCACAGCACUCGAGCUUUUGAAUCCUCAGGGAUUGUACCGAUUGAGAGUAAAGUUCGCAAAGUUGAACAGAACUGCCGUGGAGCCAUGGGGAAGCCAGGGAGGAGACGGAACAAACUGAACUCGGGGGGGGUCGGAGAGUAUGCAAGAUCUAAUUUCCAAAUUGUGUAAUUGUGCUUUGGAAAAUCGUACUCGUGGGAAGAAUGUUUUGAUGGUGCCUUUAGGUCUGAUUGGGUAGAUUUAUAUUUUGGAACGACACGGAACCCUUUUGAGCUGGCCAUUGAAAAGGAUCACGCACAGGGGCGGCUUAUUUGAGUUUUGCCUGUAACGUAUUUGUUGCAGGAUAAGACCUGAGCCUCUGGGUGGGCGGGUUAGAGACCUGAGGAGGGCGCCCAAGAGGGUAUUUGUGCUGGAGUAUUUACACGUUCAAAUAAAACAAAAACAAAAACUAACAAACAAGUGAGCCCAGGACUGUGCAUAUUUUCCACGGAGCAGAAGUUCCUCUGAGCCCGUGGGGCAUCCGGGGUCUCUCAAGAGUGAGUCGUCUGAACUGAAAACACUGUGGUCUAUCGAGGGCCUCGCAAGCCCUCCAGAAAUUCAAAGCCAUGAAUGUAAAUUUGAAGGAUUUGGCAGCAGUUUCAUGAAAACAAUAAAAAGUAAGAUCCAGUGAGAGAAAUCCCAGUGGUCAGUAGGAGAGAGCCUCGGGCAAGGACACAGAGUGGAGGGUACGACAAUGCAGCGAGAAUAGUAAAUACAAACUUGAGAUUUUAACGCAGGUUUUUGUGUGUUUAGAAAGCGUUUUUGGGGCACAGUCGGUUCAGCGUCUGACUUCAGCUUGGAUCAUGAUCUUGCGGUCUGUGGGUUCGAGCCCCGCGUUGGGCUCCGUGCUGACAACUCAGCUUCGGAUUCUGUGUCUCCCUCACUCUCUGCCCCUC
Long non-coding RNA from Prionailurus viverrinus (fishing cat), 3584 nucleotides. RefSeq lists it as uncharacterized. Lineage: Eukaryota; Metazoa; Chordata; Mammalia; Carnivora; Felidae. The record is from RefSeq and is a predicted model, not a curated record. The transcript is spliced from 6 exons.